GGAAUUUUAAGAUUAGUACAAAGUUUGCCUCAUAAGUUCCUUUGAUAAAUAGAAUUCCAUGAAGCCUGGUUGCCUCUGCUUUUGCUCUUCAAGUGAUUUGCCAAGGAAGAAUUCUGACUGAUGCAGAGAUAGAUCACCAUGAUGUGAGGAAGACCAAGCUACUGAGCUAGAAGAGCUCAUAGGAAGGAGUAGUGUGAUACCAGACAUGCAAGUGCGAACUUCUUAGACCUCACGACCUAACCCAACUGAAGGCAGACCCCCAAAAUGAGAGCUUAUAUGAGAGAUCAGACAACAGAAGAAGGCUCUGGGGAUUAUGGUAACAUUUUACCAUCUAGAAAAUUCUAAAGGGGAUUUAUGUGAGAUCAUGUCUUUCUGGAUAAAAUGCUGGAUACAUGAAAAGUAGUGUGUAUGGAGAAAAUACUGGAUGAAGAAAUCUCCAGGGUUGUUGAAGAAUGCUUUUGAAGAUGGUCUUGAAAGUCAGAUAUUUUAAUGAAGAUGUCAAGUCUUGAACACAUCUUCUGAAAUGCAGUCAGAAAAAUCUUUACUUCCUGUCUCUUUGGUUAAUAGCACCAGGUAUUCAUGGUAGAAUAGGAGUUGCAAUGUUGAUGGAGACUUGCCAAUGUGGAGAACAUCUUGAGUGAAAUUGUAAUGAUAUUCACAAAAUCUCACUGAAAGGUUUUCUCUAUAUUUUUACUUGAUUCUGUAUCAGUCACCUUCUAGGUACCAACACCAUCAAGAAGCCAGU
Molecule: long non-coding RNA, 745 nt
Filed under: Felis catus (domestic cat)
Lineage: Eukaryota; Metazoa; Chordata; Mammalia; Carnivora; Felidae
Description: lncRNA (ENSFCAG00000052245.1)
Source: RNAcentral